Molecule: ribosomal RNA, 450 nt
Filed under: uncultured bacterium
Lineage: Bacteria
Description: partial 16S ribosomal RNA
Rfam family: Bacterial small subunit ribosomal RNA
Source: RNAcentral
CCUACGGGUGGCUGCAGUGGGGAAUUUUGGACAAUGGGCGCAAGCCUGAUCCAGCCAUGCCGCGUGUGGGAAGAAGGCCUUCGGGUUGUAAACCACUUUUGUCAGGGAAGAAACGGUUCAAUCUAAUACAUUGAACUAAUGACGGUACCUGAAGAAUAAGCACCGGCUAACCACGUGCCAGCAGCCGCGGUAAUACGUAGGGUGCAAGCGUUGAUCGGAGUGACUGGGCGUAAAGUUGCAACAGGGGGCUGAAAUCCCCGGGCUCAACCUGGGAACUGCAUUUGUGACUGCAUGGCUAGAGUGCGGCAGAGGGGGAUGGAAUUCCGCGUGUAGCAGUGAAAUGCGUAGAUAUGCGGAGGAACACCGAUGGCGAAGGCAAUCCCCUGGGCCUGCACUGACGCUCAUGCACGAAAGCGUGGGGAGCAAACAGGAUUAGAUACCCUUGUAGUC